GCUGUUGGGUGAGGCCUGGCCCGGU
Molecule: non-coding RNA, 25 nt
Filed under: Cricetulus griseus (Chinese hamster)
Lineage: Eukaryota; Metazoa; Chordata; Mammalia; Rodentia; Cricetidae
Source: RNAcentral